RNAcentral lists this ribosomal RNA (501 nucleotides) under uncultured bacterium. RNAcentral's name for it is "partial 16S ribosomal RNA". It matches the Rfam family "Bacterial small subunit ribosomal RNA", at positions 30 to 523 of the family's 1533-position model. The record is from RNAcentral.
AUUGAACGCUGGCGGCAGGCUUAACACAUGCAAGUCGAGCGGGGGAAGGUAGCUUGCUACCGGACCUAGCGGCGGACGGGUGAGUAAUGCUUAGGAAUUUGCCUCUCCGUGGGGGACAACCUCUCGAAAGGGAUGCUAAUACCGCAUACGUCCUACGGGAGAAAGCAGGGGAUCUGCGGCCCUUGCGCUAAUCGAUGAGCCUAAGUCGGAUUAGCCAGUUGGGGGGGUAAAGGCCUACCAAGGCGACGAUCUGAAGCGGGGCUGGGAGGAUGGUCCGCCACACUGGGACUGAGGCACGGCCCAGACUCCUACGGGAGGCAGGAGUGGGGAAUAUUGGACAAUGGGGGGAACCCUGAUCCAGCCAUGCCGCGUGUGUGAAGAAGGCCUUAUGGUUGUAAAGCACUUUAAGCGAGGAGGAGGCUACUCUAGUUAAUACCUAGGGAUAGUGGACGUUACUCGCAGAAUAAGCACCGGCUAACUCUGUGCCAGCCGCCGCGGUAA